Long non-coding RNA from Sander lucioperca (pikeperch), 290 nucleotides. RefSeq lists it as uncharacterized. Lineage: Eukaryota; Metazoa; Chordata; Actinopteri; Perciformes; Percidae. The record is from RefSeq and is a predicted model, not a curated record. The transcript is spliced from 2 exons.
AGAAUCCCAAAAAACAGUGCUGUUUACAGAUUUCUUCUAGAGAUGGACAAUGCUGGGAAGAGUCAUUAUGUUACAAUCUCCUCCCAUCAAUCUGCAACACCCUCCAGCGAUUGCUGAACAGACACAGAGGCAUGCACUACCUUCAAACAAACACUUGGUAUAUGUGACAAGUGAAACUGAAGCUGAAGAAGAGGAGUGAAUGAUUGUUAAUGAGUAUCUUAUUAUUAUGCUGAGCAAAUAAAGUUAAGUAAUAAAUUAAGUAAAAUUAACAGGCUGAAGCAUUGAAACAA